Molecule: ribosomal RNA, 448 nt
Filed under: uncultured soil bacterium
Lineage: Bacteria
Description: bacterial SSU rRNA
Rfam family: Bacterial small subunit ribosomal RNA
Source: RNAcentral
AGAUUGAACGCUAGCGGGAUGCUUUACACAUGCAAGUCGAACGGCAGCGCGGACUUCGGUCUGGCGGCGAGUGGCGAACGGGUGAGUAAUAUAUCGGAACGUGCCCAGUAGCGGGGGAUAACUACGCGAAAGCGUGGCUAAUACCGCAUACGCCCUACGGGGGAAAGGGGGGGAUUCUUCGGAACCUCUCACUAUUGGAGCGGCCGAUAUCAGAUUAGCUAGUUGGUGAGGUAAAGGCUCACCAAGGCGACGAUCUGUAGCUGGUUGAGAGGACGACCAGCCACACUGGGACUGAGACACGGCCCAGACUCCUACGGGAGCAGCAGGUGGGAAUUUGGACAAGUGGGGGAAACCUGGAUCCGAGCCAUGCCGCGUGUGUAGAAGAAGGUCUUCGGAUUAGGUAAAGACUAACGUUUAAGGUAGGGAGGAAGGACUAAGUUUAACCUAA